CAAACGACUCUCGGCAACGGAUAUCUCGGCUCAUGCAUCGAUGAAGAACGYAGCAAAAUGCGAUACUUGGUGUGAAUUGCAGAAUCCCGUGAACCAUCGAGUUUUUGAACGCAAGUUGCGUCCGAAGCCAUUCGGCCGAGGGCACGUCUGCCUGGGCGUCACGC
RNAcentral lists this ribosomal RNA (164 nucleotides) under Celmisia asteliifolia. RNAcentral describes it as "5.8S ribosomal RNA". It matches the Rfam family "5.8S ribosomal RNA". Rfam says of the family: 5.8S ribosomal RNA (5.8S rRNA) is a component of the large subunit of the eukaryotic ribosome. Lineage: Eukaryota; Viridiplantae; Streptophyta; Magnoliopsida; Asterales; Asteraceae. The record is from RNAcentral.